GGUAAGGAAUAACGUCGAGAAAUCGGCGCUAAUACCUCAUAAUGCAGCGGAUCCGCAUGGAUAUGUUGUUAAAGGUUUACCGCCUUGGGAUAGGCUUGCGUCUGAUUAGCUAGUUGGUGUGGUAAUGGCACACCAAGGCUACGAUCAGUAACUGGUCUGAGAGGAUGAUCAGUCACACUGGAACUGAGACACGAUCCAGACUCCUACGGGAGGCAGCAGUGAGGAAUAUUGGGCAAUGCACGAAAGUGUGACCCAGCAACGCCGCGUGGAGGAUGAAGGUAUUCUAUAUCGUAAACUCCUGUGAGAGCAGACGAAAGACAGAUUAUUAAUUUGGAUGACUGUAUGCUCAGAGGAAGCCCCGGCUAACUACGUG
This 373-nucleotide ribosomal RNA is filed under the name uncultured bacterium. RNAcentral describes it as "bacterial SSU rRNA". It matches the Rfam family "Bacterial small subunit ribosomal RNA", at positions 135 to 507 of the family's 1533-position model. The record is from RNAcentral.